ACGUAGGUGGCAAGCGUUGUCCGGAAUUACUGGGCGUAAAGGGUGCGUAGGCGGAUAUUUAAGUGGGAUGUGAAAUACCUGAGCUCAACUCGGGUGCUGCAUUCCAAACUGGAUAUCUAGAGUGCAGGAGAGGAGAAUGGAAUUCCUAGUGUAGCGGUGAAAUGCGUAGAGAUUAGGAAGAACACCAGUGGCGAAGGCGAUUCUCUGGACUGUAACUGACGCUGAGGCACGAAAGCGUGGGUAGCAAACAG
This 251-nucleotide ribosomal RNA is filed under the name uncultured prokaryote. RNAcentral's name for it is "partial 16S ribosomal RNA". It matches the Rfam family "Bacterial small subunit ribosomal RNA", at positions 525 to 775 of the family's 1533-position model. The record is from RNAcentral.